RNAcentral lists this unclassified non-coding RNA (506 nucleotides) under uncultured Entrophospora. RNAcentral's name for it is "SSU rRNA". It matches the Rfam family "Eukaryotic small subunit ribosomal RNA", at positions 591 to 1092 of the family's 1831-position model. Lineage: Eukaryota; Fungi; Glomeromycota; Glomeromycetes; Entrophosporales; Entrophosporaceae. The record is from RNAcentral.
CCAAUAGCGUAUAUUAAAGUUGUUGCAGUUAAAAAGCUCGUAGUUGAAUUUCGGGAUUGACGUGAUGGUCAUGCCUUAAGGGGUAUGAACUGUUACUGUUGAUUUCUCACCUUCUGGAGAAACUUGAUGUCCUUUAUUGGGUGUCUUGCGGAUCCAGGACCUUUACCUUGAAAAAAUUAGAGUGUUUAAAGCAGGCAUUUUUGCUCGAAUACAUUAGCAUGGAAUAAUAGAAUAGGACGGCAUGGUUCUAUUUUGUUGGUUUCUAGGAUCACCGUAAUGAUUAAUAGGGAUAGUUGGGGGCAUUAGUAUUCAAUUGUCAGAGGUGAAAUUCUUGGAUUUAUUGAAGACUAACUACUGCGAAAGCAUUUGCCAAGGAUGUUUUCAUUAAUCAAGAACGAAAGUUAGGGGAUCGAAGACGAUCAGAUACCGUCGUAGUCUUAACCAUAAACUAUGCCGACUAGGAAUCAGACGAUGUUAAUUUUUUAAUGACUCGUUGGCACCUUACG